GAUGAACGCUAGCGGCAGGCUUAACACAUGCAAGUCGAGGGGUAUGCCGAUUUAUCGGCAGAGACCGGCGCACGGGUGCGUAACGCGUAUGCAAUCUACCUUUCACAGAGGGAUGGCCCAGAGAAAUUUGGAUUAAUACCUCAUAGUAUAGCAGUUUCGCAUGAAACCACUAUUAAAGUUCCAACGGUGAAAGAUGAGCAUGCGUCCCAUUAGCUAGAUGGUAAGGUAACGGCUUACCAUGGCUACGAUGGGUAGGGGUCCUGAGAGGGAGAUCCCCCACACUGGUACUGAGACACGGACCAGACUCCUACGGGAGGCAGCAGUGAGGAAUAUUGGACAAUGGGCGCAAGCCUGAUCCAGCCAUGCCGCGUGCAGGAAUAAGGUCCUAUGGAUUGUAAACUGCUUUUAUACAGGAAGAAACACACCCUCGUGAGGGUACUUGACGGUACUGUAU
RNAcentral lists this ribosomal RNA (454 nucleotides) under uncultured bacterium. Its description in RNAcentral is "bacterial SSU rRNA". It matches the Rfam family "Bacterial small subunit ribosomal RNA", at positions 28 to 483 of the family's 1533-position model. The record is from RNAcentral.